AGAGUUUGAUCCUGGCUCAGGAUGAACGCUGGCGGUGUGCCUAAUACAUGCAAGUCGAACGAGUUCUUCGGAACGAGUGGCGGACGGGUGAGUAACACGUUGGUACCUGCCCCGAAGUGGGGAAUAACUGGCCGAAAGGUCGGCUAAUACCGCAUAAUACCGCAAGGUUAAAGUAGCAAUACGCUUCGGGAGGGGCCUGCGUCCCAUUAGCUUGUUGGUGGUGUAAUGGACCACCAAGGCGACGAUGGGUAGCUGGAUCGAGAGGUUGACCAGCCACACUGGGACUGAGAUACGGCCCAGACUCCUACGGGAGGCAGCAGUAAGGAAUCUUCCACAAUGGACGAAAGUCUGAUGGAGCAACACCGCGUGCAGGAUGACGGCCUUCGGGUUGUAAACUGCUUUUAUAUGGGAAGAUUAUGACGGUACCAUAUGAAUAAGCACCGGCUAACUACGUGCCAGCAGCCGCGGUAAUACGUAGGGUGCAAGCGUUAUCCGGAAUCACUGGGCGUAAAGCGUGCGUAGGCGGGAAUUUAAGUGAGAUGUUAAAUCGUGUGGCUCAACCAUAUCGAUGCAUCUCAUACUGGGUUCCUAGAGGAUGGCAGAGGCAAGUGGAAUUGGUAGUGUAGCAGUGAAAUGCGUAGAUAUUACCAGGAACACCAAUGGCGAAGGCGCUUGCUGGGCCACCCCUGACGCUGAGGUACGAAAGCGUGGGGAGCGAACAGGAUUAGAUACCCCCGUAGUCC
This 743-nucleotide ribosomal RNA is filed under the name uncultured bacterium. RNAcentral describes it as "bacterial SSU rRNA". It matches the Rfam family "Bacterial small subunit ribosomal RNA", at positions 8 to 796 of the family's 1533-position model. The record is from RNAcentral.